Non-coding RNA from Perca fluviatilis (European perch), 75 nucleotides. NCBI's taxonomy places the organism in Eukaryota, Metazoa, Chordata, Actinopteri, Perciformes, Percidae. The record is from the annotation of a RefSeq genome assembly.
GGUGCGUGUGGCUUAGUUGGUUAAAGCGCCUGUCUAGUAAACAGGAGAUCCUGGGUUCAAAUCCCAGCAGCGCUU